Molecule: small nucleolar RNA, 210 nt
Filed under: Amborella trichopoda
Lineage: Eukaryota; Viridiplantae; Streptophyta; Magnoliopsida; Amborellales; Amborellaceae
Description: snoRNA Plant_U3
Source: RNAcentral
AUGAACUACUUGAAUAGGAUUUGCUCUAUAGGUGGUACAUCUGUUUCCAUUGGCACAAUGGAGACACGUAUUUAAAUCUUGCUGAUGGCACAUUCCACCUGGUGAGAGUGUGAAUUCCAGCUGUGGGCCCCUCGGCCUUCUUCAGCCAUAGAGGAUUGUGGUCAUCCAAUUAAAGGCUGAUGAAGAUGCUACAUUGAAGUCUGAAAGAUC